This is a ribosomal RNA of Anolis carolinensis (green anole), 377 nucleotides long. It matches the Rfam family "Eukaryotic large subunit ribosomal RNA", at positions 3007 to 3399 of the family's 3401-position model. The record is from Rfam. NCBI's taxonomy places the organism in Eukaryota, Metazoa, Chordata, Lepidosauria, Squamata, Anolidae.
GUCAUUGUGCUAGUAAACCUGCUUAGUACAAAAGGAACUGCAAGUUCAGACAUUUGGUGUAUGUGCUUGGCUGAAGAGCCAAUGGGGUGAAGCUACUAUCUAUGAAAUUAUGACUGAACACCUCUAAGUCAGAAUCCCCCCUAAAUGAAAUGAUACCACAGUGCCAAGGAGCCUCGUUGGGCCCCGGAUAGCUGGGCUGGUCCCCCGGAAGCUGGCCCCAGUAUGGAGGGCUGUCCAUUUCAGGAGUGGAGCAAGUUUGCGGAGAACCUGGUGCUAAAUCAUUCGUAGACAACCUGAUUCCGAGUCGAGGUUUCAUACGUAGCAGAGAAGCUGCCUCACUGCUAUCUAUUGAAAGUCAGCCCUCGACACACGCUUUU